GACGAACGCUGGCGGCGCGCUUAACACAUGCAAGUCGUGCGAUACCUCGAGCGAGUCUUACGACAAGCUCAAGGUAGAGCGGCGGACGGGUGAGUAACACGUGAGUAGCUGUCCUAAGGAGGGGGAUAACGCCUGGAAACGGGUGCUAAAACCCCAUAUGCCUCGCAAGAGGUGAAAGUGUAUUACUACAGCCUUAGGGUGUGCUCGCGGCCUAUCAGCUAGUUGGUGAGGUAAUGGCUCACCAAGGCUAAGACGGGUAGCCGGCCUGAGAGGGUGUACGGCCACACUGGAAUUGAGAUACGGUCCAGACUCCUACGGGAGGCAGCAGUGGGGAAUCUUGGGCAAUGGGCGAAAGCCUGACCCAGCGACGCCGCGUUGGGGAUGAAGCCCUUCGGGGUGUAAACCCAUGUUGUAGGGGACGAAGAAAGUGACGGUACCCUACGAGGAAGCCCCGGCUAACUACGUGCCAGCAGCCGCGGUAAGACGUAGGGGGCGAGCGUUGUCCGGAAUUACUGGGCGUAAAGGGCACGCAGGCGGUGCGCCAAGUCGAGGGUGUAAAGUUACGGCUCAACCGUGACAUUGCAAUCGAUACUGGCGCGCUGGAGUGCGGGAGAGGGAAGUGGAAUUCCCGGUGUAGCGGUGAAAUGCGUAGAUAUCGGGAGGAACGCCAGUGGCGAAGGCGGCUUCCUGGCCCGCGACUGACGCUCAUGUGCGAAAGCCAGGGGAGCGAACC
This 733-nucleotide ribosomal RNA is filed under the name Acetomicrobium sp. enrichment culture. Its description in RNAcentral is "bacterial SSU rRNA". It matches the Rfam family "Bacterial small subunit ribosomal RNA", at positions 28 to 774 of the family's 1533-position model. The record is from RNAcentral. Lineage: Bacteria; Thermotogati; Synergistota; Synergistia; Synergistales; Acetomicrobiaceae.